GGUCAAGAAUCAUAAGAGCAUGUC
RNAcentral lists this non-coding RNA (24 nucleotides) under Arabidopsis thaliana (thale cress). Lineage: Eukaryota; Viridiplantae; Streptophyta; Magnoliopsida; Brassicales; Brassicaceae. The record is from RNAcentral.